This 1342-nucleotide ribosomal RNA is filed under the name Microbacterium sp. ALEB 36. RNAcentral's name for it is "bacterial SSU rRNA". It matches the Rfam family "Bacterial small subunit ribosomal RNA", at positions 70 to 1425 of the family's 1533-position model. Lineage: Bacteria; Bacillati; Actinomycetota; Actinomycetes; Micrococcales; Microbacteriaceae. The record is from RNAcentral.
UGAAGCAGAGCUUGCUCUGUGGAUCAGUGGCGAACGGGUGAGUAACACGUGAGCAAUCUGCCCCUGACUCUGGGAUAAGCGCUGGAAACGGCGUCUAAUACCGGAUACGAGCUGCGACCGCAUGGUCAGUAGCUGGAAAGAAUUUCGGUCAGGGAUGAGCUCGCGGCCUAUCAGCUUGUUGGUGAGGUAAUGGCUCACCAAGGCGUCGACGGGUAGCCGGCCUGAGAGGGUGACCGGCCACACUGGGACUGAGACACGGCCCAGACUCCUACGGGAGGCAGCAGUGGGGAAUAUUGCACAAUGGGCGCAAGCCUGAUGCAGCAACGCCGCGUGAGGGAUGACGGCCUUCGGGUUGUAAACCUCUUUUAGCAGGGAAGAAGCGAAAGUGACGGUACCUGCAGAAAAAGCGCCGGCUAACUACGUGCCAGCAGCCGCGGUAAUACGUAGGGCGCAAGCGUUAUCCGGAAUUAUUGGGCGUAAAGAGCUCGUAGGCGGUCUGUCGCGUCUGCUGUGAAAACCCGAGGCUCAACCUCGGGCCUGCAGUGGGUACGGGCAGACUAGAGUGCGGUAGGGGAGAUUGGAAUUCCUGGUGUAGCGGUGGAAUGCGCAGAUAUCAGGAGGAACACCGAUGGCGAAGGCAGAUCUCUGGGCCGUAACUGACGCUGAGGAGCGAAAGGGUGGGGAGCAAACAGGCUUAGAUACCCUGGUAGUCCACCCCGUAAACGUUGGGAACUAGUUGUGGGGUCCAUUCCACGGAUUCCGUGACGCAGCUAACGCAUUAAGUUCCCCGCCUGGGGAGUACGGCCGCAAGGCUAAAACUCAAAGGAAUUGACGGGGACCCGCACAAGCGGCGGAGCAUGCGGAUUAAUUCGAUGCAACGCGAAGAACCUUACCAAGGCUUGACAUAUAGAGGAAACGUCUGGAAACAGUCGCCCCGCAAGGUCUCUAUACAGGUGGUGCAUGGUUGUCGUCAGCUCGUGUCGUGAGAUGUUGGGUUAAGUCCCGCAACGAGCGCAACCCUCGUUCUAUGUUGCCAGCACGUAAUGGUGGGAACUCAUGGGAUACUGCCGGGGUCAACUCGGAGGAAGGUGGGGAUGACGUCAAAUCAUCAUGCCCCUUAUGUCUUGGGCUUCACGCAUGCUACAAUGGCCGGUACAAAGGGCUGCAAUACCGUGAGGUGGAGCGAAUCCCAAAAAGCCGGUCCCAGUUCGGAUUGAGGUCUGCAACUCGACCUCAUGAAGUCGGAGUCGCUAGUAAUCGCAGAUCAGCAACGCUGCGGUGAAUACGUUCCCGGGUCUUGUACACACCGCCCGUCAAGUCAUGAAAGUCGGUAACACCUGAA